Molecule: ribosomal RNA, 253 nt
Filed under: uncultured bacterium
Lineage: Bacteria
Description: partial 16S ribosomal RNA
Rfam family: Bacterial small subunit ribosomal RNA
Source: RNAcentral
UACGAAGGGGGCUAGCGUUGCUCGGAAUCACUGGGCGUAAAGCGCACGUAGGCGGGUCGUUAAAUCAGGGGUGAAAUCCUGGAGCUCAACUCCAGAACUGCCUUUGAUACUGGAGAUCUCGAGUCCGGAAGAGGUGAGUGGAACUCCGAGUGUAGAGGUGAAAUUCGUAGAUAUUCGGAAGAACACCAGUGGCGAAGGCGGCUCACUGGUCCGGUACUGACGCUGAGGUGCGAAAGCGUGGGGAGCAAACAGG